Molecule: non-coding RNA, 89 nt
Filed under: Pseudomonas sp. 29
Lineage: Bacteria; Pseudomonadati; Pseudomonadota; Gammaproteobacteria; Pseudomonadales; Pseudomonadaceae
Source: RNAcentral
UGUAGGAGUGAGCCUGCUCGCGAUGACGUCGUGUCAUUCAACAUUGAUUUGUCUGACACGACGUCAUCGCGAGCAGGCUCACUCCUACA